RNAcentral lists this ribosomal RNA (398 nucleotides) under uncultured bacterium. RNAcentral's name for it is "bacterial SSU rRNA". It matches the Rfam family "Bacterial small subunit ribosomal RNA", at positions 359 to 774 of the family's 1533-position model. The record is from RNAcentral.
GAAUAUUGGACAAUGGGCGCAAGCCUGAUCCAGCCAUGCCGCGUGAGUGAUGAAGGCCCUAGGGUUGUAAAGCUCUUUUAUCGGCGAAGAUAAUGACGGUAACCGGAGAAGAAGCCCCGGCUAACUUCGGGACAGCAGCCGCGGUAAGACGAAGGGGGCUAGCGUUGUUCGGAAUUACUGGGCGUAAAGCGCACGUAGGCGGACAGUUAAGUCAGGGGUGAAAUCCCGGGGCUCAACCCCGGAACUGCCUUUGAUACUGGGUGUCUAGAGUAUGGAAGAGGUGAGUGGAAUUCCGAGUGUAGAGGUGAAAUUCGUAGAUAUUCGGAGGAACACCAGUGGCGAAGGCGGCUCACUGGUCCAUUACUGACGCUGAGGUGCGAAAGCGUGGGGAGCAAACA